UUUUAUCCGUUGGGGUGCCGUAAAGGCUGAGAGGCGAAAGCCGACCCAUCGAACCUGAUCCGGGUCAUGCCGGCGUAGGGAACGGAGCAAAGCUGUGG
Molecule: regulatory RNA element, 98 nt
Organism: Roseisalinus antarcticus
Lineage: Bacteria; Pseudomonadati; Pseudomonadota; Alphaproteobacteria; Rhodobacterales; Roseobacteraceae
Rfam family: TPP riboswitch aptamer (THI element)
About the family: Vitamin B(1) in its active form thiamin pyrophosphate (TPP) is an essential coenzyme that is synthesised by coupling of pyrimidine and thiazole moieties in bacteria. The previously detected thiamin-regulatory element, thi box was extended, resulting in a new, highly conserved RNA secondary structure, the THI element, which is widely distributed in eubacteria and also occurs in some archaea. Analysis of operon structures identified a large number of new candidate thiamin-regulated genes, mostly transporters, in various prokaryotic organisms.
Source: Rfam